RNAcentral lists this ribosomal RNA (252 nucleotides) under uncultured bacterium. Its description in RNAcentral is "partial 16S ribosomal RNA". It matches the Rfam family "Bacterial small subunit ribosomal RNA", at positions 524 to 776 of the family's 1533-position model. The record is from RNAcentral.
UACGGAGGAUGCGAGCGUUAUCCGGAUUUAUUGGGUUUAAAGGGUGCGUAGGCGGACGCUUAAGUCAGCGGUAAAAUUGCGGGGCUCAACCUCGCCGAGCCGUUGAAACUGGGUGCCUUGAGUGGGCGAGAAGUACGCGGAAUGCGUGGUGUAGCGGUGAAAUGCAUAGAUAUCACGCAGAACUCCGAUUGCGAAGGCAGCGUACCGGCGCCCAACUGACGCUGAAGCACGAAGGCGUGGGUAUCGAACAGG